This 474-nucleotide ribosomal RNA is filed under the name unidentified nematode Sourhope farm. RNAcentral describes it as "SSU rRNA". It matches the Rfam family "Eukaryotic small subunit ribosomal RNA", at positions 58 to 529 of the family's 1831-position model. The record is from RNAcentral. Lineage: Eukaryota; Metazoa; Nematoda.
UCUAAGCACAUGCCUUAAUACGGUGAAGCCGCGAAUAGCUCAUUACAACAGCCAUCGUUUAUUAGAAUAUCGUUAUCCUACUUGGAUAACUGUGGCAAUUCUAGAGCUAAUACAUGCAAUAAAGCUCUGCCCGCAAGGAACGAGCGCAUUUAUUAGAAUAAAAACCAAUCGAGCUUCGGUUCGUAAUUUGGUGAAUCUGAAUAACUUUGCCAAUCGCACAGUCCUAGUACUGGCGAUGUAUCUUUCAAGUGUCUGCCUUAUCAACUUUCGAUGGUACGCUAUACGCCUACCAUGGUAGUAACGGGUAACGGAGAAUAAGGGUUCGACUCCGGAGAGGGAGCCUGAGAAACGGCUACCACAUCCAAGGAAGGCAGCAGGCGCGCAAAUUACCCACUUCCAGAACGGAGAGGUAGUGACGAAAAAUAACGAGACAGUCCUCUUUGAGGUCUGUCAUCGGAAUGGGUACAAUUUAAA